Long non-coding RNA from Monodelphis domestica (gray short-tailed opossum), 1360 nucleotides. RefSeq lists it as uncharacterized. NCBI's taxonomy places the organism in Eukaryota, Metazoa, Chordata, Mammalia, Didelphimorphia, Didelphidae. The record is from RefSeq and is a predicted model, not a curated record.
GGCUGGAUCUUGCAUGCCUCCCCCACACUACUUCCUGUCCCUUUCCCAACUGAAUCUAAAGGCUCAUCUCAAGAAUGAUUUCGGAUCUGGAGUCGCCAAUGGAUUAUAUAACAAAGGAAAGACCAGCUUAAACAAAAGUGGACAUAUUCAUUUUGACUGAGCUUUACCAAUAGGAUGAAGAUAAUACUUAUUUGGUGCCAUUCUAAUCAAGCAAAGGAAUACUUGAGAAAACUAGAAAAAUAAUUACAAAAUUCAUGUGGAAGAAGAGAAUCCCAAAAUUCUCAAAAAGUCAGCUCAGGAGAGAUGGAAAACUAAAGAAAUAAUUGAACCUCUCAAGAAGGAAUAAUCUCCAUGAGAAGACAAAAAGAGACUAGCCUGAGGAGCCCUAUGUGAAUAAACUUAAAUUUUAAAAAGAAAAAUCUCAUAUUUUCUGUCCUAAAUCAAUAUUGUGUAUUGGUUCCAAGGAAGAAGAGCAGUAAGCGAUAGGUAAUGGAUAUUAAGUGAAUUGCCCAGUGUCAUAUAGCUAGGAAGUGUCUGAGAGCAGAUUUGAACCCAGGAUCCUGUGACCUAGUUGCCUCCCCCUGAUACUUAAUUUUUUUUAAAGAUGGUUUCAGAUGAUGGAAGCAAAAGCAAUGACAGAGCAAAGGCACAUGUCUGAAGAGCAAAAGACCUAAGGCUAGCAAGAAAAACUAAAGACAACCAAAAGGACGUUUUUUGUGGGUUUUUUGUAAAGCUGUUUGAGAUCAAUGGUAUAAUACCUGACAUUAAAGAGAAAGUAGCGCAACUCAAAUCCUAUUUUUAUUCUGCUUUCUCUGCCAAAGAGAAUGAUCUAUGAACAGGAAAGGUCAAAAAAUGAUAUGAUUAAUAGGUGAUUAGUAUGCAAGAUAAGUAAGGAGAUUAGAAGAGAAUCCCUAGAUGCCCUUGAUAAAUUCAAGUUCCUUGGCCAAUAUGAACUAUAUCCAAGAGUAGAGAUGAAGGGAAAAAAUUGGCAGAUGUUACUGAUAAACCAUAGUAUAAAUUAGAAAUAUGGUAGAGAAGGAUCCCAGGCAUGGAGAAAGUAAAUGUCUUGAUAUUCAAAAAAUGGAAAGAAACAAAAUCUGCAAACCAUUGACUAGUGAACUGGUCUUUAAUUCAUAAGAAAAUUCUAGGAGGGAUAAAGAAGCUAAAAUAUUAGGAAUGAUCAUAAAGAGCCAAUAGGUUUAGGAGACAGCUAACUGGCUCACUGGAUUGAGAGCCAGGCCUAGAGACAGGAGGUCCUAGGUUCAAAUUUGUCUCAGACACUUACUAGCUGUGACCCUGGGUAAGUCACUCAAUUCCCAUUGCUUAGUCCUUACUGCUUUUCUGCGUUGGAACCAAUAAA